CUGUUAUUCCCUCUGGGGCACCUGGCACUGGCCACUGUCAGAAGACAGGAGGAUACUGGGCUAGAUGGACUUUGCGUCUGAACCAGUCUGGCCGUUCUAUGUCUCCCUUGGAGCAGCAGUGACCCCAGUGGCAGUCAGAGUAAUGCACAGAAGGUGUUUCCCUUGAUACAGCAGUGACACCCAGUGGCCAGGUGGUGUAAUGCACAGCGUGUGUCUGCCUUCUAGGAGCAGUGACACCCACGGCCCAGUCACGGUAACGCACAGAGUGUGUUUCCCACCAAUCUGGGUAAUUCACAGAGCAUGUUUCCCAUGGAGCAGCAGUGACACCCAGUGACCAGCAGGGGUGGCAUCAGACUCUUCUCGUUUGGUGGGGGACUGAAGUGGGCUAGACAAAAAAAUUGGGAGCUGUGCCCCCCUAUCACCUGGCCCCACCCUUCACGGUGGCCAUGCCUCCCAUGCCUCUGCUCCUUCUCAGGUAAAGGCCAGGCUCAUCUCCUCUCCCCCCAGCCAGGGUUUACAGCAAUACAACCUUUAUUAAAAUAAAAUAGUAAACAGGGUUUACUUUAAAUAUUCUAAAUCUGUCCAAAUUUUAGUAUUAAAUCCAAAGUUCUCUUAAAGAUCCCAUCAGUAACCAAAACCUACAUGAAAAAUUGAAACCAAAAACAAUGCUUAAUUUAAAACCCAAACAUUAAGAAACACUUUGUUUUUAAAAAUAAAAACUAACAAAUGCUGUAAAUUAAUAAUUUCAACAUUUUAUCAAAAAAGGUGUGCUACAGCAGAAUGAUAAAAUAAAAUAAAAUAAAUAAGCCUGACCACUAAAACCUCCUAUAAAGGAAUUGAAUCCUUGAAUACUGGGCAAAUCUGUAUAAAAUAUGCAGAACUAUGUCAAAACUGGUGCUGCAGGUCAGCCAUUCCAUCCAGCAAAUGUCAAUUAAAAGCUCCAUUCCAACUAAAAAACCCAAAACAACCCAAUAAACCAAAACGGUCACAGCCUGAAACAAACCUACACAGAAGCAAAAUUAAACCUGUGCCAACAUUGGAACAAAUGAUGUAAAUUUUUAAUUCUAACUUAUUGUUUCUCCAGGAGGAAAGUGUUUUGCACCCCAGGAACCAGGCUGUCACUGCAGCUUUCCUUUCACUAAAUAAGAUUUUUACCAAAUAUAAAUUUCCCUCAAAUUUCUCUAAGAGAAAUUGAAAUUGUAUCUUUGCACUAAUAUCCCAAGUGUGCAAGUCCAUCCCCUCAGAGCAGCCCCACACCCUGAGGCCAGGGGAGAAUCCCAACUGGUUUGUGCAUUUGUAACCCUGGGGAGCUGAGGAGAGAAAGGGAAGUGAGCGAUCUUGGAGCUUUCCGAUACCACCUGCUGGGAGCACAGGGAAUUGACUGAGUGACAUCCUGGCUAAUUUUCCUCUUGUUCUCCCCCAGCAGGCUCCACUGGAGAGCUCAGGAGUAACUUGACCACGGCAGCACCCUAUUUACAUAUUAAAAGCCGGCAUUUGGGGGCCAUUGGGGUGAAUUCACAGACCCAGA
Chelonoidis abingdonii (Abingdon island giant tortoise) is the source of this 1528-nucleotide long non-coding RNA. RefSeq lists it as uncharacterized. Lineage: Eukaryota; Metazoa; Chordata; Testudines; Testudinidae. The record is from RefSeq and is a predicted model, not a curated record.